RNAcentral lists this ribosomal RNA (328 nucleotides) under uncultured bacterium. Its description in RNAcentral is "bacterial SSU rRNA". It matches the Rfam family "Bacterial small subunit ribosomal RNA", at positions 8 to 334 of the family's 1533-position model. The record is from RNAcentral.
AGGGUUUGAUUAUGGCUCAGGAUGAACGCUGACAGAAUGCUUAACACAUGCAAGUCAACUUGAAUUUGGGUUUUUAACUUAGAUUUGGGUGGCGGACGGGUGAGUAACGCGUAAAGAACUUGCCUCACAGCUAGGGACAACAUUUAGAAAUGAAUGCUAAUACCUGAUAUUAUGAUUUUAAGGCAUCUUAGAAUUAUGAAAGCUAUAGGCACUGUGAGAGAGCUUUGCGUCCCAUUAGCUAGUUGGAGAGGUAACAGCUCACCAAGGCGAUGAUGGGUAGCCGGCCUGAGAGGGUGAACGGCCACAAGGGGACUGAGACACGGCCCUU